Molecule: unclassified non-coding RNA, 245 nt
Filed under: uncultured fungus
Lineage: Eukaryota; Fungi
Description: sequence contains ITS1, 5.8S rRNA gene
Rfam family: 5.8S ribosomal RNA (bases 197-245)
Source: RNAcentral
UCUCCGUUGGUGAACCAGCGGAGGGAUCAUUACCGAGUUUACAAACUCCCAAACCCUUUGUGAACCUUACCUAUCGUUGCUUCGGCGGGAUCGCCCCGGCGCCUUCGGGCCCGGAACCAGGCGCCCGCCGGAGGCCCCAAACUCUUAUGUCUUUAGUGGUUUUCUCCUCUGAGUGACACAUAAACAAAUAAAUAAAAACUUUCAACAACGGAUCUCUUGGUUCUGGCAUCGAUGAAGAACGCAGC